This 275-nucleotide ribosomal RNA is filed under the name uncultured Bdellovibrio sp. RNAcentral's name for it is "partial 16S ribosomal RNA". It matches the Rfam family "Bacterial small subunit ribosomal RNA", at positions 338 to 627 of the family's 1533-position model. The record is from RNAcentral. Lineage: Bacteria; Pseudomonadati; Bdellovibrionota; Bdellovibrionia; Bdellovibrionales; Pseudobdellovibrionaceae.
CCUACGGGUGGCUGCAGUAGGGAAUAUUGCGCAAUGGGCGAAAGCCUGACGCAGCGACGCCGCGUGAGUGAUGAAGGCCUUCGGGUCGUAAAGCUCUGUUGCAGGGGAAUAAAAAAAUGAAGGUACCCUGUGAGGAAGGAUCGGCUAACUUCGUGCCAGCAGCCGCGGUAAGACGAGGGAUCCUAGCGUUGCUCGGAAUCAUUGGGCGUAAAGAGGGCGUAGGUGGCUUGGUAAGUCAGGUGUGAAAGCCCAGGGCUCAACCCUGGAAGUGCAUU